This 340-nucleotide long non-coding RNA is filed under the name Linum usitatissimum (flax). RNAcentral describes it as "long non-coding RNA (LUSI_LNC001151)". The record is from RNAcentral. Lineage: Eukaryota; Viridiplantae; Streptophyta; Magnoliopsida; Malpighiales; Linaceae.
CUGUCAUCAACAAUGGAGAGCCUUGCUUCUGAUCCUGUUCCUCAUCUUCCUCCAGGUACUCCAUCAAAGAACUAUUCUUCUUCCAAUCAGAAUACAACCCACCACUCAUUUUUCAACUGCUAACUGUUCUUGGUGGAUUUGGUUUAGUUUAACUGGGUUGUGUUAAUCUAUAUAUGCAGAGAGCAGGUGAAAGUGGGGUAGGCCAAAAGGGGGACAAAGUGACAUUUUAAAAUUAGAAACUUCGCAUGAAACCUGGUGUUUUGCAGAGGAACAGAGUGAUGUUGGGACAAAAGACCAAGUUUCGGGAGACUCGAGGGAAUUAAGGAGCAGGAAGGACAAG